This is a long non-coding RNA of Equus asinus (donkey), 1984 nucleotides long. NCBI's taxonomy places the organism in Eukaryota, Metazoa, Chordata, Mammalia, Perissodactyla, Equidae. The record is from Ensembl.
CUUCAAGGCAACUAACAAUUAAGAAACAAGCACAUUCUUGUUAUUGACAAUUAGGCAUUUUCUCAGCUCCUUUAUCGGGUUUACAAAGAGUAAUUCUGCAUGAGAGAUUGUAUGAUUCAACACUUGUUCAACAACAUAGUCUGAGAUCGUUUUUUAUGUAAGGGUGAUAAUUGAUAAGAAAAGAAAAUAAUCAUUUAAAUUCCAGGUGCCAGAAACCGAUGCAUUUUCCACAAAGAAUACCGAGAUUCCUUCUGCUUUGUCAGAUCUAGAGUUCACUGCAAUUCCCUCCAUGACAAGACACAGGCCAUUCUAGGACGCGUGUGACAGAUGCCAUUCACAAGCCCGCGCCCUCCAACAGACAGAUUCACACUGAGGCUCCGUUCUCCUUCCCAGCUGGAAUCAAUCCUCUUUCUCCACCAGCGGGGGAUGUCAAAAUGCAAAGGGAAGAGCAAUUUUCCAUAUUGUUUAUGGUUUUGCGUUUCGUUCUCCUGUAAGGAAGGGAGAGGAAGAACACAGAAAUGUUCUCCACUGGCCUCUGAACUUCUCCAACUUCACGCUGUUCAAGCAGUCCUAGCAAGGCUCAUCCUUGAUAAAAUUGUGAGGUCGGGGAUUUUGUCCACAGUGAGCCAGGCCUCCCAGCAAACCCUCACCUCAGUUUGGUGACAUUUACUCACAUCCUUCCAGGAAUGUAAUGUUCUCUUGCUUUUUUCCCUUUUACCCUCAUUUUACACACGCACACACCCUAUCCUCCAAAAUAACCUUGAAAAUGUAUUCUCGUAUUCAUUCACUCAUAUAUUCAACUAAUAUUUACUGAAGACCUACACUGGGUCAGGCACUGUUUUAGGUGUUGUAUACAUAGCAGUUCACAGAGAAAAAAGCCAGCCUUCAUGAAGUCCACACUCUAGCAAAUGGCAACAAAUAAGUAAGUAAAUGCACAGUCUUUGAGAUUGUGAUGUGUCAAGAAGAAAAAUGAAGCAGGAAAGGAGGAUGGGGAGCUCCGGGGGUGGGAGUAUUUAUAAUUUUUAAGUAGGUGGUCAGGGAAGACCUCACUGAUAAGGUAAUACCUGAGGGGGAAAAAAGUGAAGAGUGAGAGAGUAAAUCUUGCACGUGUCUGGAGGAGAACCUUCCAGGGAAAAGGAACAGAGAGUGCAAAGGCUCUGAGGUGGAGCAUUCUGGUGUACCUGUGGUAUCAGGCUAUCAGGUAAACAACUGAUAAGAGAUUAACAUGUCACCCUCCCAGUAACGGGCAAGUAACAUAAAGGGAGCCUUCAGCUCAAGGAUUCCAGACAUUAGUCAGUAAGAGGGAGAGGCACUGUGAUGGGACACCAAGGCCUUGCUGAGGUUUCCCAGACAACUGUUGCCUUGUACACACCUCAAUCCAGCAUUAUUAUAGUCUUAUCACAUUAAGAUAACUUAAAACUAGUAGGAUUUAUUUUGAAAAAAAGUCUCUUAAGAAGUGUUCAGAACUUUACUUAGACCCAAGAAUAGACUCUCGUUUUCUCUGCUGAGCCACAUCCUAUUUUGCAAUUGUAGUGUCUUCCCCUAAUUCUCCUCUGCCCCGUGGACAAUGCUGACAAUUUCCUUAAGCCAUUUUGGUUCAGGGACUUUGCAUCCGAGUAACCAGUCCUCAUAUAUUGACUCACAAGGAGAAGCCUGUGGCUACAGCUCAUUUUAGACUGUGACUCACUCCAUGGGCUUUCUCACUCUUUCGAGGUGUUGGCGUCUGUGACUGUACUCUCAGGGCUGACUGUUGCUGCCCCCAAAGUAGAAUGACCGUUCACUAAGGAUGUGCUGGCCUCUCUGUACUAGACCAUAUGCAGACACAUAGGCGUGCAGUCGGCUAGGCUUUCAUUAUUACUCUGCAAGUUCUAGCUCAGAAAAGCAACAAAGGUUUCCCCACUCUGGUAUUAGAGGGCGUCCCCCACUCCUAAACUGGCCACUGCUCCUCUCUUACUGCCUAAGGUGGAGGCGGCUCUUGGUCCAU